This 255-nucleotide ribosomal RNA is filed under the name Escherichia coli. Its description in RNAcentral is "partial 16S ribosomal RNA". It matches the Rfam family "Bacterial small subunit ribosomal RNA", at positions 251 to 498 of the family's 1533-position model. Lineage: Bacteria; Pseudomonadati; Pseudomonadota; Gammaproteobacteria; Enterobacterales; Enterobacteriaceae. The record is from RNAcentral.
GGUGGGGUAACGGCUCACCUAGGCGACGAUCCCUAGCUGGUCUGAGAGGAUGACCAGCCACACUGGAACUGAGACACGGUCCAGACUCCUACGGGAGGCAGCAGUGGGGAAUAUUGCACAAUGGGCGAAAGCCUGAUGCAGCCAUGCCGCGUGUAUGAAGAAGGCCUUCGGGUUGUAAAGUACUUUCAGCGGGGAGGAAGGGAGUAAAGUUAAUACCUUUGCUCAUUGACGUUACCCGCAGAAGAAGCACCGGCU